Curtobacterium sp. Leaf261 is the source of this 46-nucleotide regulatory RNA element. It matches the Rfam family "L31-Actinobacteria ribosomal protein leader". Lineage: Bacteria; Bacillati; Actinomycetota; Actinomycetes; Micrococcales; Microbacteriaceae. The record is from Rfam.
UCGGCUCCGGUUCACGCCGACGACGGACGCCGACGACCCGGUCGCC